GUGUCAGCAGCCGCGGUAAGACGAAGGGGGCUAGCGUUGUUCGGAAUUACUGGGCGUAAAGGGCGCGUAGGUGGCUCCGCAAGUCAGGCGUUAAAGACCCAGGCUUAACCUGGGGAAUGCGCUUGAGACUGCAGAGCUUGAGACCGGAAGAGGAGAGUGGAAUUCCCAGUGUAGAGGUGAAAUUCGUAGAUAUUGGGAAGAACACCAGUGGCGAAGGCGGCUCUCUGGUCCGGUUCUGACACUAAGGCGCGAAAGCGUGGGGAGCAAACAGGAUUAGAAACCCCUGUAGUCC
Molecule: ribosomal RNA, 292 nt
Filed under: uncultured bacterium
Lineage: Bacteria
Description: partial 16S ribosomal RNA
Rfam family: Bacterial small subunit ribosomal RNA
Source: RNAcentral